This is a long non-coding RNA of Entelurus aequoreus (snake pipefish), 731 nucleotides long. RefSeq lists it as uncharacterized. The transcript is spliced from 4 exons. Lineage: Eukaryota; Metazoa; Chordata; Actinopteri; Syngnathiformes; Syngnathidae. The record is from RefSeq and is a predicted model, not a curated record.
ACCCGCCCACCUGCAUGCAGCUGUCGAAGAACAAGCCCAGACACGUCUCUUCACGGAGCCCAAGGAAAACACUUUACCGGACUCAUCACUCAUAUGGGAUGGCCCUGUAAAUUGUGCAGCACUGUUGUGCCAACCAAGAGUGAUUUUUUAAAGCAUUACAGACUGCACCAUGGGACCUUUGGACACAGCCAUGCCUUCCCUUGCAUUCAUAUAGGUUGCCCAUGCUCUUUUAAAUGCUGGAGUUCCCUUCGCUCUCAUCUGUCAAGAUACCACCCAGAAGUCAAAUUCCUCAACUCACCUCAAGUAAGUCCUUCAUUCACCUGCCCUCUGUGUAAAAAGACUGUGCCAGGAGCAUCAAUGAUAUGAUGGCCAGAACGUAUACAGUUGGAGAAGACAGGAAGUUGUUGCCAAGUCUCCUACUGGGGUGGCAGAAUUUAAGGAAAGAUGGCCUGCCCUCUUCGAACCAUUCCAGAUUAAUGAAGAGUUCCGAAGGUGCACUGCUGUUCCACUGGAAUCAACAUUUAUGUCCCAGCUGGACAGGUACACUCCAAAACUCCUGGAGCUCUUCAGUGCAAAAGGUGGAGUGACUGGUCAGCGCAUCAAGAACUUGUUGAUGGAACUGAUACAGGACCCAAGUGCCUCUGCAGUGAUGAAGAGAGAUGUGACUCUGAGAUGCCUCAUAGAGUACAUGGGAGAGAGUGGACAGGAGCUAAUCUCUGACUACUGUGUAA